GACGAACGCUGGCGGCGUGCUUAACACAUGCAAGUCGAACGGAAAGGCCCUGCUUUUGUGGGGUGCUCGUGUGGCGAACGUGUGAGUAACACGUGAGUAACCUGCCCUUGACUUUGGGAUAACUUCAGGUAACUGGGGCUAAUACCGUAUAGGGUCUCCUGCUGCAUGGUGGGCGUUGGAUAGUUUCGGCGUUUGGGGAUGUACUCGCGGCUUAUCUGCUUGUUGGUGGGGUAGUUGCUUACCAAGGAUUUGACGGGUAGCCGGCCUGAGAGGGUGACCGGCGACAUGGGGACUGAGAUACGGCCCAGACGCGUACGGGAGGCAGCAGGGGGGAAUAUUGCACAAUGGGAGGAAGCCUGAUGAAGAAAAGCGGCGUGCGGGAUGACGGCCUUCGGGUUGUAAGCAGCAUUCGACUGAGACGAAGCGUGAGUGACGGUAAUGGGUAAAGAAGCACCGGCUAACUACGUG
Molecule: ribosomal RNA, 468 nt
Filed under: uncultured bacterium
Lineage: Bacteria
Description: partial 16S ribosomal RNA
Rfam family: Bacterial small subunit ribosomal RNA
Source: RNAcentral